This is a long non-coding RNA of Jaculus jaculus (lesser Egyptian jerboa), 740 nucleotides long. RefSeq lists it as uncharacterized. The record is from RefSeq and is a predicted model, not a curated record. The transcript is spliced from 5 exons. Lineage: Eukaryota; Metazoa; Chordata; Mammalia; Rodentia; Dipodidae.
CGGGCCCACGACGCCCCGAAGCUCCGCUGCGGCAGCGGCCUUGGAGGCUUUCCCCCCCCAAUCUCCGGGAGCGGGGUUCCCGGGCGCUUGGACUUGGCGUGGGCGGGUGGCCGUGACGGGCCGUGCGGCCCGAGAUUCGAGGAUGGACGAGCAACCCGGUGCCCGAGGCCGCGCUCCGACCCGGUAAUUUACAAGAUUAAAAUUAAUGUGGUUGCAGAUGGCUGUGAACAAAUACAGCUUUUAUCCCAGGUGUGCCGUUUUGAGGACUGAGAUAGAGCUUAAUCUUUUAGAAUAAAGGAAGUAUGGAAAAGUCUGUAUUUUAUAUAGCAAAAAUGUAAGUCCCCAGAUGGAAUAAAGGCCUAUUCAACAUAGUAGACAUUGAUGGAAACAUUUACACCCAGUCAGCUUGACGAGUUUCAAAUGGACCCUUCCACUGAGAAAUCAAGAUGGCAGCCCACUGUGGGGAAUUGAGGAGGAUGGAUUUAUACAAGAAUGCUGUGAUAACAAACAACCAAGACAGGGUUCCUUUAACAUGGAUUUCAUGAAGUGAAUGAUUCUUACCCAGCACAAAUGGACAGUAAAUUUGACUUUCUAAAGAUACUUUUUGUAUCAUGCAUGUUUUUGACAUUUGGAGAAAAUGGCACGUUAAUGCAGAUGGUUGUUUGUAUGCUUGGAAUUUCUUGCAAUUUGAUCUGAUCUGAUGGAAUGUUAACUUCAAUAAAAUUUCUAACACUUACAAA